AAUAGAUACCCUGGUAGUCCAUGCCGUAAACGUUGGGCGCUAGAUGUGGGGACCAUUCCACGGUUUCCGUGUCGCAGCUAACGCAUUAAGCGCCCCGCCUGGGGAGUACGGCCGCAAGGCUAAAACUCAAAGGAAUUGACGGGGGCCCGCACAAGCGGCGGAGCAUGCGGAUUAAUUCGAUGCAACGCGAAGAACCUUACCAAGGCUUGACAUAUACGAGAACGCUGCAGAAAUGUAGAACUCUUUGGACACUCGUAUACAGGUGGUGCAUGGUUGUCGUCAGCCCGUGUCGUGAGAUGUUGGGUUAAGUCCCGCAACGAGCGCAACCCUCGUUCUAUGUUGCCAGCGGUUCGGCCGGGAACUCAUAGGAGACUGCCGGGGUCAACUCGGAGGAAGGUGGGGAUGACGUCAAAUCAUCAUGCCCCUUAUGUCUUGGGCUUCACGCAUGCUACAAUGGCCGGUACAAAGGGCUGCAAUACCGCAAGGUGGAGCGAAUCCCAAAAAGCCGGUCUCAGUUCGGAUUGAGGU
Molecule: ribosomal RNA, 528 nt
Filed under: uncultured bacterium
Lineage: Bacteria
Description: bacterial SSU rRNA
Rfam family: Bacterial small subunit ribosomal RNA
Source: RNAcentral